CUUGUGACCAGCCAGGCACCUUUCCAAGCAGAGGCUGUUAAGUUCGUUGACAACAGAACCUGUAGAUGUUUUGAAGAGGAGAUUUCAACAAGGGACCUGCCUGCUUGGUCAUACCAGAGGCAGCUCCCUCAGUCUGUGAGAAUUGCUGACUUCAGAUACCCCUCAGAAGAAAUGGCUGUAUUGCAUAAACAUGUGUCCUGAGGACUGAACUCCCCGCCCCCAUUUAGUGAAGUAUGGCACUAAUGCCACCUGGAGGACGAACACAGACCAAAAAGGCUGCUGGAGGAAGCUCAGAAGGGUGUGCUGGAGAUACACUUACCAUUGGUAGCCAGAGAGGGUAGAAGCACACAGAGCUGUGGAAUUUUCAGUUAUGUCAUGUUGACAAACUGACUCAGCAGGAGGUGCCUACAUGGGAAAGAGAGUCCAUCUUCUCUGAAGCCCCCUCAAGGACAUGAUGGGAAAAUCAGGAAACUUCUGCCUCCCUGACUUGCUGGGAUUUGCUGUAUUCCCCUGGGCACUGAUCAGGCUGCAUUCCUCAA
Cricetulus griseus (Chinese hamster) is the source of this 539-nucleotide non-coding RNA. The record is from RefSeq and is a predicted model, not a curated record. Lineage: Eukaryota; Metazoa; Chordata; Mammalia; Rodentia; Cricetidae.